RNAcentral lists this ribosomal RNA (1201 nucleotides) under metagenome. Its description in RNAcentral is "bacterial SSU rRNA". It matches the Rfam family "Bacterial small subunit ribosomal RNA", at positions 268 to 1498 of the family's 1533-position model. The record is from RNAcentral.
GCAAGGCGUCGACGGGUAAGGGACCUGAGAGGGUGGCCCCUCACAAUGGAACUGAAACACGGUCCAUACACCUACGGGUGGCAGCAGUAGGGAAUAUUGCACAAUGGACGAAAGUCUGAUGCAGCAACGCCGCGUGUACGAUGAAGGCCUUCGGGUCGUAAAGUACUUUUCAGGGAGAUGAGAAAGGACAGUACCCCUGGAAUAAGUCUCGGCUAACUACGUGCCAGCAGCCGCGGUAAAACGUAGGAGGCGAGCGUUAUCCGGAUUUACUGGGUGUAAAGCGCGUGCAGGCGGUUUGAUAAGUUGGAUGUGAAAGCUCCUGGCUCAACUGGGAGAGGUCGUUCAAAACUAUCAGACUAGAGAGUGGUAGAGGAAAGUGGAAUUCCCGGUGUAGUGGUGAAAUGCGUAGAUAUCGGGAGGAACACCAGUGGCGAAGGCGGCUUUCUGGACCAUUUCUGACGCUAAGACGCGAAAGCUAGGGUAGCAAACGGGAUUAGAGACCCCGGUAGUCCUAGCAGUAAACGAUGUGAACUUGGCGUUGGUGGUGUAAAAACCAUCAGUGCCGAAGCUAACGCGAUAAGUUCACCACCUGGGAACUACGGCCGCAAGGUUAAAACUCAAAGGAAUUGACGGGUCCCCGCACAAGCAGCGGAGCGUGUGGUUUAAUUCGAUGUUACACGAAGAACCUUACCCGGGUUUGACAUACAAGUGGUAGUGAAGCGAAAGCGGAACGACCCUUCGGGGAGCUUGAACAGGUGCUGCAUGGCUGUCGUCAGCUCGUGUCGUGAGAUGUCCGGUUAAGUCCGGUAACGAGCGCAACCCUCGCCGUAUGUUACAAGUGUCAUACGGGACCGCCGGUAUCAAGCCGGAGGAAGGUGGGGAUGACGUCAAGUCAGCAUGGCCUUUAUAUCCGGGGCUACACACACGCUACAAUGGCCGGUACAAUAGGUUGCUAAGCCGCGAGGUAGAGCCAAUCCUCAAAGCCGGUCUCAGUUCAGAUCGCAGGCUGCAACUCGCCUGCGUGAAGUUGGAGUUGCUAGUAAACGCGCGUCAGCUAUAGUGCGUUGAAUACGUUCCCGGGGAUUGUACACACCGCCCGUCACGUCAUGGGAGCUGGCAACACCUGAAGUCAGUAGUCUAACCGCAAGGAGGGCGCUGCCGAAGGUGGGGUUGGUGACUGGGACGAAGUCGUAACAAGGUA